Molecule: unclassified non-coding RNA, 30 nt
Filed under: Western X phytoplasma
Lineage: Bacteria; Bacillati; Mycoplasmatota; Mollicutes; Acholeplasmatales; Acholeplasmataceae
Also listed under: 5 other names
Description: partial 16S-23S ribosomal RNA intergenic spacer
Source: RNAcentral
AGGAAAAAAUAAAAUUAUCAUCUUCAGUUU